RNAcentral lists this ribosomal RNA (253 nucleotides) under uncultured bacterium. RNAcentral describes it as "partial 16S ribosomal RNA". It matches the Rfam family "Bacterial small subunit ribosomal RNA", at positions 524 to 776 of the family's 1533-position model. The record is from RNAcentral.
UACGUAGGGUGCGAGCGUUGUCCGGAAUUACUGGGCGUAAAGAGCUCGUAGGUGGUUUGUCGCGUUGUUCGUGAAAACUCACAACUCAAUUGUGGGCGUGCGGGCGAUACGGGCAGACUGGAGUACUGCAGGGGAGACUGGAAUUCCUGGUGUAGCGGUGGAAUGCGCAGAUAUCAGGAGGAACACCGGUGGCGAAGGCGGGUCUCUGGACGGUGACUGACGCUGAGACGCGAAAGCGUGGGGAGCAAACAGG